UUGGAGAAUUCAAACUUUGAUAUAUUUAGCUUAAGGAAAAUAUUCAAAGGCAUGAAAAGUGGAGGGGUUUGAAUAGAGUUUAAAGAAAUUUGAGGGUUGUUUUGCAAGUAAUAAAAUCAGAAAAAAAUUAGCUACUUGGAUCACCUAUAGGGACGGUUUUGGGCUUCCAAUUGCCUUAGUGGGUCAGUCUUCUCUACUUAGCAUAUUAGGUCAUUUUCUUCUUCAAGCUUUAUAUUAAUUUUUAACCCAAUUAAAU
RNAcentral lists this long non-coding RNA (256 nucleotides) under Gossypium barbadense (sea-island cotton). RNAcentral's name for it is "long non-coding RNA (GBAR_LNC014929)". Lineage: Eukaryota; Viridiplantae; Streptophyta; Magnoliopsida; Malvales; Malvaceae. The record is from RNAcentral.